This 938-nucleotide long non-coding RNA is filed under the name Nicotiana benthamiana. Its description in RNAcentral is "long non-coding RNA (NBEN_LNC024765)". The record is from RNAcentral. Lineage: Eukaryota; Viridiplantae; Streptophyta; Magnoliopsida; Solanales; Solanaceae.
AAAACGUUAGCUCAAAUACGAUUACAAAACAACAAUUGUGUGUAACCAACCAAUCAUCAAGCCAGCAAAAGAAUUCUGCCAUGUGUCGAGUUGUCAACUAGUCAUUUUAUCACCUAAUACACUGGAACUUCUGAUAUUCUAAGAUGUUAUCCAUUUAAAACUUUCUGGCUAUGUUAAUUUCAGUUACAAUCAUUGUAAAGGAUGAAAUAAGUCAUAGAGAUAGUAUCACCACAACAUGGACACCAACCUAGCAUUCAGAAGACAUCGAGUUCAAAAUAAUGUUGUUAAUCAACAAUUUAUGUGGCCAGCAGAAGAAGAAAACAAAUAAAAGCAGCAGUCUUGGUACCCUACAACUCAACAGGAAAGGAGAUCCCUAGAACCUAAUCGAGGAAUGCAUAAGCCCCACAUUUUCAGCUAUACAUGAGACUUAAUCGAAGCCAAAGUCAAGUGAAAGAUAGGUCACAGAAAAGGAUAAUAAUGCAUAAAGUCAGGAAAAACAAACCAAAAGGUAACGUCAGGGGAGAACAGUCUUCUCAAGGAAUCAACUUGCUAGGUAAGUUUACAACCCAACGCAUUUAUAGGUGAAAACGCUGGUUUUGCAGGUUAACAAGGGCAAUGAUCUAAUGAACUUGUUCUUAUAAAUUUUGUACCAAAACAAAGGCAGUAAUUACAACUUUGGAAGCAUUUUCAGAAAGUAAUCUUAUUUAGUUGGUUGCAUUUAAUGCUUGUGAGUGCAAUUCCAGUAAUGGCCAAGGCUGCAUUCAUAAAUUUUCUCUUUCAGUCAAUUAAAAUCAGGUUCUAUUAACAACUUCACACAUGUCCUACACAAGAAAGGUGACAAAAUCUAAAAUCAAGAUCAGCUAGGCCUGCUUAUUCAAUCACAAAAUGAGAUUCCUAUACAAGAAAGGUGACAAAAUCUAAAAUCAAGAUCAGCUAGG